Long non-coding RNA from Zingiber officinale, 663 nucleotides. RefSeq lists it as uncharacterized. The transcript is spliced from 3 exons. The record is from RefSeq and is a predicted model, not a curated record. Lineage: Eukaryota; Viridiplantae; Streptophyta; Magnoliopsida; Zingiberales; Zingiberaceae.
UAGAAGUAGAAAAAAGAAAACAUUUUCCCGUUGUUUCUUUCUCCUUUUUUCUUUUCUCAUUCGAUCUCCAUUACAUCGCGCUUCAGAUCAUCGGAAUCGAACUUCAGCUUGAUCCCCGCCUGACCUAGCGAAUCGAAUGGAACGACAACUCAAUUUGCACGAAUUUGGGUCUCCAGAAUGCCGGCGAGGGAGUUAGGUUGCUUCUCCUUGAGGGAGCUCUAUCAGAUCGGUUGAUGCGAUGGAGGUAAAAGGCGGCACCGUCAGUCGAGGUGGAGAGUUUAGGGUUUGAUCGUUAAAGAAGGGGGUGAAUGGAUCAAACAGUGGAAAUUUUUUAGUGCUUUCAGAUGGCUUGGGACGAUUCCUCCGCACCUGGAGCUUAGGCGUUGUCGAUCAGGCGCCACCGAAACAGCCACCACGGUUCUUCCUUUUCUACAAUCAUCCAAAUUAAAAGCAAAGAAUCCUUUACCUCUAGCUCUCGGCACAGCUCGCAUCUUGAAACUCCCUCUUCCUGAUGGCGGUGGUCGCUGCUCCCUCUUCCGGUCUCCGACGAGGGGGAUGUCUGCUCCUCCGCAUUACGCAGCAGCGAGAACCGCCUGAAAGACACGCCUUCCGUGCCAUGAAGGAUGAGCGUGCAAUGUCUUCUGGCGCCAUGAAUAAGGUGAG